RNAcentral lists this ribosomal RNA (253 nucleotides) under uncultured bacterium. RNAcentral describes it as "partial 16S ribosomal RNA". It matches the Rfam family "Bacterial small subunit ribosomal RNA", at positions 524 to 776 of the family's 1533-position model. The record is from RNAcentral.
UACGUAGGAGGCGAGCGUUGUCCGGAUUUAUUGGGCGUAAAGCGCGCGCAGGUGGUGCGGUAAGUCUGUCGUGAAAUCUCCCGGCUCAACUGGGAGGGUGCGGUGGAGACUGCCGGACUGGAGGCACUCAGAGGCCGGUGGAAUUCCCGGUGUAGUGGUGAAAUGCGUAGAUAUCGGGAGGAACACCAGUGGCGAAGGCGACUACCUGGCCUGUUCUUGACGCUGAGGCGCGAAAGCUAGGGGAGCAAACGGG